This 254-nucleotide ribosomal RNA is filed under the name uncultured bacterium. RNAcentral's name for it is "partial 16S ribosomal RNA". It matches the Rfam family "Bacterial small subunit ribosomal RNA", at positions 524 to 776 of the family's 1533-position model. The record is from RNAcentral.
CACGUAGGGGGCGAGCGUUGUCCGGAUUUAUUGGGCGUAAAGAGCUCGUAGGCGGCUCGGUAAGUCGGGUGUGAAAACUCUAGGCUCAACCUAGAGACGCCACCUGAUACUGCCGUGGCUAGAGUCCGGUAGGGGAGCAUGGAAUUCCUGGUGUAGCGGUGAAAUGCGCAGAUAUCAGGAGGAACACCAGUGGCGAAGGCGGUGCUCUGGGCCGGAACUGACGCUGAGGAGCGAAAGCGUGGGGAGCAAACAGG